RNAcentral lists this ribosomal RNA (492 nucleotides) under uncultured bacterium. RNAcentral describes it as "partial 16S ribosomal RNA". It matches the Rfam family "Bacterial small subunit ribosomal RNA", at positions 28 to 523 of the family's 1533-position model. The record is from RNAcentral.
GACGAACGCUGGCUGCGUGCUUAACACAUGCAAGUCGAACGCUGAAACCCUGGCGCUUGCACCGGGGUGGAUGAGUGGCGAACGGGUGAGUAACACGUGAGUAACCUGCCCCCGACUUCGGGAUAAGCCCGGGAAACUGGGUCUAAUACCGGAUAUGAGCGCCCCUCGCAUGAGGGAUGCUGGAAAGUCUUUUCGGUUGGGGAUGGGCUCGCGGCCUAUCAGUUUGUUGGUGAGGUAAUGGCUCACCAAGACGACGACGGGUAGCCGGCCUGAGAGGGCGACCGGCCACACUGGGACUGAGACACGGCCCAGACUCCUACGGGAGGCAGCAGUGGGGAAUAUUGCACAAUGGGGGAAACCCUGAUGCAGCGACGCAGCGUGCGGGAUGACGGCCUUCGGGUUGUAAACCGCUUUCAGCAGGGAAGAAGCCCCUUGGGGUGACGGUACCUGCAGAAGAAGUACCGGCUAACUACGUGCCAGCCGCCGCGGUAA